GAUGAAGAACGUAGCAAAAUGCGAUAAGUAAUGUGAAUUGCAGAAUUCAGUGAAUCAUCGAAUCUUUGAACGCACAUUGCGCACGCUGGUAUUCCGGCGGGCAUGCCUGUUCGAGCGUCAUUUCAACCCUCAAGCCCCCGGGUUUGGUGUUGGGGAUCGGCUCUGCCCUUCUGGGCGGUGCCGCCCCCGAAAUACAUUGGCGGUCUCGCUGCAGCCUCCAUUGCGUAGUAGCUAACACCUCGCAACUGGAACGCGGCGCGGCCAUGCCGUAAAACCCCAACUUCUGAAUGUUGACCUCGGAUCAGGUAGGAAUACCCGCUGAACUUAAGCAUAUCAAUAAGCGGAGGA
This 348-nucleotide unclassified non-coding RNA is filed under the name soil metagenome. Its description in RNAcentral is "partial contains 5.8S ribosomal RNA, internal transcribed spacer 2, and large subunit ribosomal RNA". The stretch from base 1 to 120 matches the Rfam family "5.8S ribosomal RNA", at positions 35 to 154 of the family's 154-position model. The record is from RNAcentral.